Molecule: ribosomal RNA, 253 nt
Filed under: uncultured bacterium
Lineage: Bacteria
Description: partial 16S ribosomal RNA
Rfam family: Bacterial small subunit ribosomal RNA
Source: RNAcentral
UACGUAGGGGGCAAGCGUUAUUCGGAAUUAUUGGGCGUAAAGGGCGCGUAGGCGGCUUUGCAAGUGACGGGUGAAAUCCCUCGGCUUAACCGAGGAACUGCCUGUCAGACUGGAAGGCUUGAGACCGGGAGAGGUGAGUGGAAUUCCCAGUGUAGCGGUGAAAUGCGUAGAUAUUGGGAGGAACACCAGUGGCGAAGGCGGCUCACUGGACCGGAACUGACGCUGAGGCGCGAAAGCGUGGGGAGCAAACAGG